ACACGUAAGUAAUCUACCUUUAAGACGAGGAUAACAACCGGAAACAGUUGCUAAGACUGGAUAGGAAAUAAAAAGGCAUCUUUUUAUUUUUAAAAGACCUUUUUCGGAAGGUAUGCUUAAAGAUGAGCUUGCGCCACAUUAGUUUGUUGGUGGGGUAAUGGCCUACCAAGACGAUGAUGUGUAGCUGGACUGAGAGGUCGAACAGCCACAUUGGGACUGAGACACGGCCCAAACUCCUACGGGAGGCAGCAGUAGGGAAUUUUCGGCAAUGGAGGAAACUCUGACCGAGCAACGCCGCGUGAACGAUGAAGUAUUUCGGUAUGUAAAGUUCUUUUAUUGAAGAAGAAAAAAUAGUGGAAAAACUAUCUUGACGUUAUUCAAUGAAUAAGCCCCGGCUAACUAUGUGCCAGCAGCCGCGGUAAGACAUAGGGGGCGAGCGUUAUCCGGAAUUAUUGGGCGUAAAGGGUGCGUAGGCGGUUAGGAAAGUCUAUAAUUUAAUUUCAGUGCUUAACGCUGUCUUGUUAUAGAAACUACCUUGACUAGAGUUAGAUAGAGGCAAGCGGAAUUCCAUGUGUAGCGGUAAAAUGUGUAAAUAUAUGGAGGAACACCAGAAGCGUAGGCGGCUUGCUGGGUCUUGACUGACGCUGAGGCACGAAAGCGUGGGUAGCAAACAGGAUUAGAUACCCUGGUAGUCCACGCCGUAAACGAUGAGUACUAAGUGUCGGGAUAAAACUCGGUACUGAAGUUAACACAUUAAGUACUCCGCCUGAGUAGUACGUACGCAAGUAUGAAACUUAAAGGAAUUGACGGGACUCCGCACAAGCGGUGGAUCAUGUUGUUUAAUUCGAAGAUACACGAAAAAUCUUACCAGGUCUUGACAUGCUCUGCAAAGCUAUAGAAAUAUAGUGGAGGUUAUCAGGGACACAGGUGGUGCAUGGUUGUCGUCAGUUCGUGUCGUGAGAUGUUAGGUUAAGUCCUAAAACGAGCGCAACCCUUGUCGUUAGUUACCAGCACGUAAUGGUGGGCACUUUAACGAGACUGCCAAUUAAACAUUGGAGGAAGGUGAGGAUUACGUCAAAUCAUCAUGCCCCUUAUGAUCUGGGCUACAAACGUGAUACAAUGGCUGUUACAAAGAGUAGCUGAAGCGCGAGUUUUUAGCCAAUCUCAAAAAAGCAGUCUCAGUUCGGAUUGAAGUCUGUAACUCGACUUCAUGAAGUUGGAAUCGCUAGUAAUCGCGAAUCAGCAUGUCGCGGUGAAUACGUUCUCGGGGUUUGUACACACCACCCGUCAAACCACGAAAGUUAGCAAUACCCGAAAGCAGCGGCUUAACUUCGCAAGAAGAGGGAACUGUCUAAGGUAGGGU
Molecule: ribosomal RNA, 1363 nt
Filed under: Candidatus Phytoplasma fraxini
Lineage: Bacteria; Bacillati; Mycoplasmatota; Mollicutes; Acholeplasmatales; Acholeplasmataceae
Description: bacterial SSU rRNA
Rfam family: Bacterial small subunit ribosomal RNA
Source: RNAcentral